GACAGUGUGGCCUAGUGGUCUGAAUGCUGGACUAUGACUCUGGAAACCAAGGUUCGAUUCCCAGCUCAGCCA
Phrynosoma platyrhinos (Desert horned lizard) is the source of this 72-nucleotide non-coding RNA. NCBI's taxonomy places the organism in Eukaryota, Metazoa, Chordata, Lepidosauria, Squamata, Phrynosomatidae. The record is from the annotation of a GenBank genome assembly.